AGAACGAACGCUGGCGGCAUGCCUAAUACAUGCAAGUCGAACGAAGGCUUCGGCCUUAGUGGCGCACGGGUGCGUAACGCGUGGGAAUCUGCCCCUUGGUUCGGAAUAACAGUUGGAAACGACUGCUAAUACCGGAUGAUGACGAAAGUCCAAAGAUUUAUCGCCAAGGGAUGAGCCCGCGUAGGAUUAGCUAGUUGGUGAGGUAAAGGCUCACCAAGGCGACGAUCCUUAGCUGGUCUGAGAGGAUGAUCAGCCACACUGGGACUGAGACACGGCCCAGACUCCUACGGGAGGCAGCAGUAGGGAAUAUUGGACAAUGGGCGAAAGCCUGAUCCAGCAAUGCCGCGUGAGUGAUGAAGGCCUUAGGUUGUAAAGCUCUUUUACCCGAGAUGAAUAAUGACAGUAUCGGGAGAAUAAGCCCCGGCUAACUCCGUCGCCAGCAGCCGAC
RNAcentral lists this ribosomal RNA (448 nucleotides) under uncultured soil bacterium. RNAcentral describes it as "bacterial SSU rRNA". It matches the Rfam family "Bacterial small subunit ribosomal RNA", at positions 26 to 518 of the family's 1533-position model. The record is from RNAcentral.